This 749-nucleotide ribosomal RNA is filed under the name Escherichia coli. RNAcentral's name for it is "bacterial SSU rRNA". It matches the Rfam family "Bacterial small subunit ribosomal RNA", at positions 35 to 773 of the family's 1533-position model. The record is from RNAcentral. Lineage: Bacteria; Pseudomonadati; Pseudomonadota; Gammaproteobacteria; Enterobacterales; Enterobacteriaceae.
GCUGGCGGCAGGCCUAACACAUGCAAGUCGAACGGUAACAGGAAGAAGCUUGCUUCUUUGCUGACGAGUGGCGGACGGGUGAGUAAUGUCUGGGAAACUGCCUGAUGGAGGGGGAUAACUACUGGAAACGGUAGCUAAUACCGCAUAACGUCGCAAGACCAAAGAGGGGGACCUUCGGGCCUCUUGCCAUCGGAUGUGCCCAGAUGGGAUUAGCUAGUAGGUGGGGUAACGGCUCACCUAGGCGACGAUCCCUAGCUGGUCUGAGAGGAUGACCAGCCACACUGGAACUGAGACACGGUCCAGACUCCUACGGGAGGCAGCAGUGGGGAAUAUUGCACAAUGGGCGCAAGCCUGAUGCAGCCAUGCCGCGUGUAUGAAGAAGGCCUUCGGGUUGUAAAGUACUUUCAGCGGGGAGGAAGGGAGUAAAGUUAAUACCUUUGCUCAUUGACGUUACCCGCAGAAGAAGCACCGGCUAACUCCGUGCCAGCAGCCGCGGUAAUACGGAGGGUGCAAGCGUUAAUCGGAAUUACUGGGCGUAAAGCGCACGCAGGCGGUUUGUUAAGUCAGAUGUGAAAUCCCCGGGCUCAACCUGGGAACUGCAUCUGAUACUGGCAAGCUUGAGUCUCGUAGAGGGGGGUAGAAUUCCAGGUGUAGCGGUGAAAUGCGUAGAGAUCUGGAGGAAUACCGGUGGCGAAGGCGGCCCCCUGGACGAAGACUGACGCUCAGGUGCGAAAGCGUGGGGAGCAAAC